AUUGACAACCCAGCAUAUGCCUGCUAGAGUUUUUGGCUGCAUUUACAGCCUGUUUCUGCCCAUGAAGAAGCCAACUCGAAUGCCCGGUAGAUAAGGCACCAAAGACUGCCCUGUCAUGCUGAGACCCUGUAGCUGGUCAACUCUACUCCAUGCCACUGUGCAAUUUUACCCUCAUAAGUUGGGGCCUAUGCAUAUUAAGUGCUACGUGUAUUUUUUCCUAAGAUUGUUUAUUCCAAUUUCACUUAUUACUAUAAUUAUAUAUGCUAAUUAGCUGUUUAAUAAAGUGAUGAAAUAUGAGUACAAAAAAGGAGAGUUGCUUCCACAAAAACUAAUAAAAAUUAUUUUGAAGUCUUUUCAAUAUAAACUGUAUCACUGUUGAUUACAUGUGGGUAAGACAACGACAACAAACCCCAACUGGCAUGGGGAG
RNAcentral lists this long non-coding RNA (427 nucleotides) under Homo sapiens (human). Its description in RNAcentral is "non-protein coding lnc-ZFP42-4:1". The record is from RNAcentral. Lineage: Eukaryota; Metazoa; Chordata; Mammalia; Primates; Hominidae.